UCAAAAACGAUGAUAGGGAGAGUAGCUAGUUAUUCUUCAGUAUAGCGAGCCGGGGAUUGGUGGGAGCCCGGUACUGGGAUACUAGUGAAGCGCACCCUGGAGUUGGGAACCGAACAGGAGAAUUAUUAAUUCUCAGUAGGUUACCCCGGAUUGUUUCCGUUAACAAACACAAGAGAGGACCGGUGUAAAGUGUGUAAUUUACUUGAGCUGCGGAUAUCAAUUAUUUUCCAAAUAUCCAUAGAUAACCGGUAAUCAGGGUGGUAACGCGAGUUGACUCCUCGUCCCUUAG
Molecule: non-coding RNA, 289 nt
Filed under: Natranaerobius thermophilus
Lineage: Bacteria; Bacillati; Bacillota; Clostridia; Natranaerobiales; Natranaerobiaceae
Description: T-box sequence
Rfam family: T-box leader
About the family: Uncharged tRNA acts as the effector for transcription antitermination of genes in the T-box leader family. T-boxes are found upstream of many aminoacyl-tRNA synthetase genes and some amino acid biosynthetic genes usually in Gram-positive bacteria.
Source: RNAcentral